This 516-nucleotide ribosomal RNA is filed under the name Actinomycetes bacterium. RNAcentral describes it as "bacterial SSU rRNA". The stretch from base 1 to 464 matches the Rfam family "Bacterial small subunit ribosomal RNA", at positions 72 to 541 of the family's 1533-position model. The record is from RNAcentral. Lineage: Bacteria; Bacillati; Actinomycetota; Actinomycetes.
CACGGACUUCGGUCUGGUGGCGAGUGGCGAACGGGUGAGUAAUGUAUCGGAACGUGCCCAGUAGCGGGGGAUAACUACGCGAAAGCGUAGCUAAUACCGCAUACGCCCUACGGGGGAAAGCAGGGGAUCGCAAGACCUUGCACUAUUGGAGCGGCCGAUAUCGGAUUAGCUAGUUGGUGGGGUAACGGCUCACCAAGGCGACGAUCCGUAGCUGGUUUGAAAGGACGACCAGCCACACUGGGACUGAGACACGGCCCAGACUCCUACGGGAGGCAGCAGUGGGGAAUUUUGGACAAUGGGGGAAACCCUGAUCCAGCCAUCCCGCGUGUGCGAGGAAGGCCUUCGGGUUGUAAGGCACUUUUGGCAGGAAUAGCGGUCUUGGGCUAAUACCCCGUGAACUGACGGACCUGCCAAUGAGCCCGGGUGACCAGGUGCCUCGGCAGCGGGAAAUUAGGGCGCAGCGUAAACGGACUAGGGGGGUAAGGUUUGCGCGUCGUUCCGAAUAGACGAUGUGAA